This 322-nucleotide ribosomal RNA is filed under the name uncultured Glissomonadida. RNAcentral describes it as "SSU rRNA". The stretch from base 112 to 322 matches the Rfam family "Eukaryotic small subunit ribosomal RNA", at positions 744 to 955 of the family's 1831-position model. The record is from RNAcentral. Lineage: Eukaryota; Cercozoa; Glissomonadida.
GAUUUCUGGCUUGAAACAUUUUGCCGGCCACGGUUUCGUGUGUUAGUGCUUGAUGUUCUGGCCAUCCUUCCAAUCGCUAUUGGUUACUCUUCAUUGAGUGGUCAGUAGUAUUGGAUCUUUUACUUUGAAAAAAUUAGAGUGUUUCAAGCAGGCUUUAUGCUAUGAAUACAUUAGCAUGGAAUAAUAAUUUAGGACUUCGGUUCUAUUUUGUUGGUUUCUAGGACUGAAGUAAUGAUUGAUAGGGAUAGUUGGGGGUGCUAGUAUUCAGCGGCCAGAGGUGAAAUUCUCGGAUUCGCUGAAGACUAACUUAUGCGAAAGCAUU